GAUGAACGCUGGCGGCGUGCCUAAUACAUGCAAGUCGAGCGAACGGACGAGAAGCUUGCUUCUCUGAUGUUAGCGGCGGACGGGUGAGUAACACGUGGAUAACCUACCUAUAAGACUGGGAUAACUUCGGGAAACCGGAGCUAAUACCGGAUAAUAUUUUGAACCGCAUGGUUCAAAAGUGAAAGACGGUCUUGCUGUCACUUAUAGAUGGAUCCGCGCUGCAUUAGCUAGUUGGUAAGGUAAAGGCUUACCAAGGCAACGAUGCAUAGCCGACCUGAGAGGGUGAUCGGCCACACGGGAACUGAGACACGGUCCAUACUCCUACGGGAGGCAGCAGUAGGGAAUCUUCCGCAAUGGGCGAAAGCCUGACGGAGCAACGCCGCGUGAGUGAUGAAGGUCUUCGGAUCGUAAAACUCUGUUAUUAGGGAGGAACAUAUGUGUAAGUAACUGUGCACAUCUUGACGGUACCUAAUCAGAAAGCCACGGCUAACUACGUG
This 497-nucleotide ribosomal RNA is filed under the name uncultured bacterium. RNAcentral's name for it is "partial 16S ribosomal RNA". It matches the Rfam family "Bacterial small subunit ribosomal RNA", at positions 28 to 507 of the family's 1533-position model. The record is from RNAcentral.